Molecule: ribosomal RNA, 742 nt
Filed under: uncultured bacterium
Lineage: Bacteria
Description: bacterial SSU rRNA
Rfam family: Bacterial small subunit ribosomal RNA
Source: RNAcentral
AGAGUUUGAUCCUGGCUCAGAACGAACGCUGGCGGCAUGCCUAACACAUGCAAGUCGAACGAAGGCUUCGGCCUUAGUGGCGCACGGGUGCGUAACGCGUGGGAAUCUGCCCUUGGGUUCGGAAUAACAGUGAGAAAUUACUGCUAAUACCGGAUGAUGACUUCGGUCCAAAGAUUUAUCGCCCAAGGAUGAGCCCGCGUAAGAUUAGCUAGUUGGUGAGGUAAAGGCUCACCAAGGCGACGAUCUUUAGCUGGUCUGAGAGGAUGAUCAGCCACACUGGGACUGAGUCACGGCCCAGACUCCUACGGGAGGCAGCAGUGGGGAAUAUUGGACAAUGGGCGAAAGCCUGAUCCAGCAAUGCCGCGUGAGUGAUGAAGGCCUUAGGGUUGUAAAGCUCUUUUACCAGGGAUGAUAAUGACAGUACCUGGAGAAUAAGCUCCGGCUAACUCCGUGCCAGCAGCCGCGGUAAUACGGAGGGAGCUAGCGUUGUUCGGAAUUACUGGGCGUAAAGCGCACGUAGGCGGCCAUUCAAGUCAGAGGUGAAAGCCCGGGGCUCAACCCCGGAACUGCCUUUGAAACUAGAUGGCUUGAAUCUUGGAGAGGCGAGUGGAAUUCCGAGUGUAGAGGUGAAAUUCGUAGAUAUUCGGAAGAACACCAGUGGCGAAGGCGACUCGCUGGACAAGUAUUGACGCUGAGGUGCGAAAGCGUGGGGGGCAAACAGGAUUAGAUACCCUGGUAGUCC